Molecule: ribosomal RNA, 253 nt
Filed under: uncultured bacterium
Lineage: Bacteria
Description: partial 16S ribosomal RNA
Rfam family: Bacterial small subunit ribosomal RNA
Source: RNAcentral
UACGAAGGGGGCUAGCGUUGCUCGGAAUCACUGGGCGUAAAGCGCACGUAGGCGGAUUGCUAAGUCAGAGGUGAAAUCCUGGAGCUCAACUCCAGAACUGCCUUUGAUACUGAAAGUCUUGAGUACGGGAGAGGUGAGUGGAACUGCGAGUGUAGAGGUGAAAUUCGUAGAUAUUCGCAAGAACACCAGUGGCGAAGGCGGCUCACUGGCCCGUAACUGACGCUGAGGCACGAAAGCGUGGGGAGCAAACAGG